Drosophila elegans is the source of this 3480-nucleotide RNA transcript. It is a transcript of the gene named phosphatidylinositol 4-phosphate 5-kinase type-1 alpha, with no coding region annotated. The transcript is spliced from 16 exons. Lineage: Eukaryota; Metazoa; Arthropoda; Insecta; Diptera; Drosophilidae. The record is from RefSeq and is a predicted model, not a curated record.
AGUGGGCCUAUGAGUAUGCAGUGAAAAUGACAGCAGUGGCAGAGGAGCCAUCAACACAUCAGACAGCAGACAGCUAAAGCGUUGACGCCAGCGCCAGACGAGAGCCAAGGUUCCUGCCCCCCAGUUAGCCCAAUUGAUUGGAUAAUCCCCGCAGAUAGCGAAACGUGGGAACAGCGCCGAAAUAGCUCAAAGUCCCUGCCAGACAGCAUGUCCUAGUGAAGCCCUCGACGGGAACGCAGAGAGCAGGACACCUGGAGCAGGAGCACGAUGGCCUCCGGCGAUGGCGACACCAUCAACACCAUCGACAUGGACAGCUCCUCGGCGUCGCAGGCCAAACUGGCGGAGCCCAGCAAUGCCUCCACCGACCAUGUGGGAAACUCAUCGCCCGACCUGGGCAACCGACCGAUGCGAGCGGCCAGCAAGGCGGACAAGGAGCGCAAGAUUGGCCACAGACGCGUCGGCGAGGGCGGCGAGAUCACAUACAAGAAGAUACAGACGUCGCAGAUCAUGGGCUCCAUUCAACUGGGAAUCCAGCACACUGUCGGCAGUCUAGCCUCGAAGCCCAAGCGUGAUCUACUUAUGAUGGACUUCUGGGAAAUCGAGAGCAUCACCUUUCCGCCAGAGGGUUCUAGCCUUACACCUGCCCACCACUACAGCGAGUUCAGAUACAAGAUAUACGCGCCCAUCGCUUUUCGCUACUUUCGGGAUCUGUUCGGCAUCCAGCCAGAUGAUUUUAUGAUGUCCAUGUGUACGUCCCCAUUGCGGGAACUGUCCAAUCCUGGUGCUUCCGGCUCUAUAUUCUACCUGACGACCGACGACGAGUUCAUUAUCAAGACGGUGCAACACAAAGAGGGCGAAUUCUUACAGAAACUACUGCCUGGUUACUACAUGAAUCUAAAUCAAAAUCCGCGCACGCUAUUGCCAAAGUUCUUCGGAUUGUACUGCCUGCAGACGAGCAACGCCAAAAACAUUCGCCUGGUGGUCAUGAACAAUCUGCUGCCCUCAUCCGUAAGAAUGCACCUGAAGUACGACUUGAAGGGCUCCACGUUCAAGCGCAAGGCCAACAAGGCGGAGCGCGCCAAGAAGUCGCCCACGUAUAAGGACCUCGACUUCAUGGAGCAGCAUCCGAACGGCAUUUUCCUGGAGGCCGAGACCUACUCCGCGCUGAUCAAGACCAUUCAGCGCGACUGUACGGUGCUGGAGUCCUUCAAGAUCAUGGACUAUUCCCUGCUCCUCGGCGUCCACAACCUGGACAUUGCGCUCAGGGAGAAGCAGAGCGAGCAACGGAAACCGCUGAGAGCUCCGCUGGCCGAGGACUCCGACGUGGAUGGGGACGAUCCGCUGGACGCCCUGGAUGGCGACGGCAAGGAUCGCGAUGCGGCCACGGGCAUAAGUAGAAACAAUGCGGCAUACAGGUCCGUCAAUCGUCAGCGUUUAGUGGCCCACUCCACGGCCAUGGAGAGCAUUCAGGCGGAGAGUGAACCCAUCGACGAUGAGGAGGAUGUGCCACCUGGGGGUAUUCCAGCGAGGAGUGAGAAAGGCGAGCGCCUGUUGCUCUACAUUGGAAUCAUCGACAUUCUGCAAUCCUACAGGCUGAAAAAGAAACUGGAGCACACUUUCAAAAGCAUCAUACACGAUGGGGAAACCGUAUCGGUCUGCCGGCCCUCGUUCUAUGCUCAAAGAUUCCAAAACUUUAUGGCCAAGACCGUGUUCCGCAAGAUACCCUCCCGUAAGUGGGGUGGGCGUGGAAGUCGGGCUAAGUACUCGUACUUGGAUCUCCCAGAGAUCAAAGGGAAUCACAGAAAAUUUCGUACCUUGGUAACCAGCUACAUAGCGCUUAAGCAUUCGCCAUCGAAGAGAAAAAGCCUUUCCAAGGCCAUUCAGCGCUCCAUCGACAGCGACAACGAGGUGGCCACGAGGCCGGUUCACGCCUCGCACUCGCACAGUAGUGGCAAGAUUCACCAGCCAGCAAAGCCGCCCACCACCGAGCCAACGCCAGCGGGAGCGGCAGGUGGAGCCGUAGGAGGAGCAGCUGCCCUUGGUCCAGCUAGCGGCAGUGCCACCAGCGAGCGGGCACCUCCGCCCGUCAAGCAGCGGACUCCGGCGGCCAGCAACCUGAAGACACGGGUGCCACCGCCAGUGCCACCGCGUGGUUCGCCGCGGCGCAAGGAUGCCCAUGAUCGGACGACACCAGGCACAACGCCCUCAUGCAGCUCGACUCCUCCCCCCGCCUUUGACGACAUCUCCGAGGACAGCUCGAACAAGAACAGCACCUCGUCGAUGGGGCGCCGGUCCCAUCAUCAUCACCACCAUCACCAGCAGUCGCAGCAGCAUCAGCAUCAGCAAUCUUACUACCUGGAUCGCAAGAUGAACAUUGGACCCGCCUAUCGAGGUUCCUACAAGGAGGACAUCGUGAGCGUCUCCGAGGUUCAUCUGGAUACACUGCUGGCGGUGGACACCUCGUCGAGCAGCCAGUACGGGUCCCGCGGCGGAUUGGCCUGGACACCGCCCGCUUCAGGUGAGGGCUCCACUCCCACAUGGACAGAGGGCACACCCAGUUUUACGGACUCCAGUUCGAGUGGUGAUCUCGACAACUUCUCGCCCAUAAACUCAUCUAAAAUCGAUCGACACAAGCCGACGGUGGAAGAUGCCAUCAACUCUCUGUCCGCGGGAAUGGUAAAUAUCGGAGGUGGCCAACUCUAGAUACGAUCCCAAGCACACACAGAAACCUCCUGAUCCGCAGCACCCACGACACCUCCUGCUCAGAGAUAACAUACUCAUGCCCCCCAGAGAUAGUCGCACACGCCCAUAUCAACUAACAUAGCAUGUGAUGACGGAACACAAGACACACCAACCCAUAUGUAUCACGAUGUGGACAGAGUCCGAGCAAAAUAUGCCUCAUACUCUUACAUACUGAUUAUGCUUGCGUGUUCAGGCGCUAUUGUAUAGCUAGGAUAUAAUCAAAAGGCGCCCCACGUAGAAAAGAUUCCCAUGACAUGACCUCGCCCACGCCCUCAACCACGACCACACCCACACCUGCCCAUCCCUUCCAGCGGACAUCGGGUGAAAUCUAUCCAGCAAAUACAUAACUCAACACUGCAAAUGAUAUUAUACACGAAAGCAUACUCCCCAUAUACAGAACUACAGAAGCAUAAAGCAAAUAAAUGUCAAAUCAAAUAUAUAUGUAUGAGUAAAGUGCGCAGGAUGGCAUCCAGUUGGAGAUCCGAGAUCCGAAAUCCGCAAUCCCGUUCCCCUAUACAUUUAGUGUACGGUGUAAAGAGUUCGUUAUGCGUUCGAUCAGAUAAUAUGAAAAUAUACAAUACACUGAAAUUAUACAAGUAUAAACAAACGUUUUUGCGAUACUUUCGAUCUCCGAUAUAUCCACAUAAGUACGUAUUAUGUAUACCUAUGUAUAAUCAGCAAUCGCGAUAUUACAAUAUUAUUGUAAAAUAUUUCAAUUUACAAGCCAGACAAACAAAG